Long non-coding RNA from Cylas formicarius (sweet potato weevil), 727 nucleotides. RefSeq lists it as uncharacterized. The record is from RefSeq and is a predicted model, not a curated record. Lineage: Eukaryota; Metazoa; Arthropoda; Insecta; Coleoptera; Brentidae. The transcript has 3 exons.
AAUACUAUCCAUCCCACUCGCACACGCGAAGAAUCCACUUUAGUAUCUCUUCCUUUCGGAACAUUACGGCCUUCCUCCAAACUAAAUAAGGCGCCAAAGAUACAUGCUGCCAAGUUUCGCAUUUGUAUGAGCUACGACUACACGAGACAAAUGAUGCUUGUGUGCUACGGAAAGGGUGGCAUGUAGCGCAAUGAUACCUGCGCUAAACGACUUACAUCGGAAGGAUCCACGGAGCACUUCACGAAAUCUAUGCAUUCCGGCAACACCGCCAAACACCUGUCAGGUGAUGGGAGGCGACGGACGUAAACAAUGCCGGCAAACCAAAUACUGAAAGAAAUACUGACUUCUAAGUCAAGAACCAGGGAGGUGUGUACAAAUAACAGCCAGGAGCGACAACUAGAAUAGAGACAGGCAAUGCUACGGAGCCUCGAGUGCGAGGGAUGUCGCAGGAAUAUACCAGGACGAACGAAAGCAAUGGCUACAAUAACCGUUACAACUCUGAGCAGCCUCUAGCCAUCCAAGAAGUACUAAGGUCUCAACCUAAGGAAGUAUGCAAACAUGUCUACAUGCACUGGCGUGUAAUGUCGCCACAAGACCAGCGAAGGCGACGCAGGGGCAUUAUAUAUAGAGUUGGAAGAAGAUAAUCACCAUUACACGAAAUUUCUCAAUACUACGUUAGAAAUAUCCUUUAAUGGCUUAUGUUAACUGUACCUAGUAACGUAUAAGU